This 274-nucleotide ribosomal RNA is filed under the name uncultured bacterium. Its description in RNAcentral is "partial 16S ribosomal RNA". It matches the Rfam family "Bacterial small subunit ribosomal RNA", at positions 523 to 796 of the family's 1533-position model. The record is from RNAcentral.
ACACGGGGGGCGCAAGCGUUAUUCGGAAUUAUUGGGCGUAAAGGGCGCGUAGGCGGUCUUGUCGGUCAGAUGUGAAAGCCCAGGGCUCAACCCUGGACGUGCAUUUGAAACAGCAAGACUCGAGUACGGGAGAGGAAAGCGGAAUUCCUGGUGUAGAGGUGAAAUUCGUAGAUAUCAGGAGGAACGCCGAUGGCGAAGGCAGCUUUCUGGACCGAUACUGACGCUGAGGCGCGAAGGCGUGGGUAGCGAACAGGAUUAGAAACCCCAGUAGUCC